AUAUCAGUCAUGCAUAGCAUAUCAAUAAGCGGAGGAAAAGAAACUAACAAGGAUUCCCUUAGUAACGGCGAGUGAAGCGGGAAGAGCUCAAAUUUGAAAUCUUCAAGGUUUUACCUUGACGAAUUGUAGUUUAAAGAAGUGUUUUCUGUUGAAGUUUUGGUAAAAGUUCUUUGGAAUAGGACAUCAUAGAGGGUGAGAAUCCCGUAUUUGACCAUUACUCUCAGCUUUGUGAUACACUUUCAAAGAGUCGGAUUGUUUGGGAAUGCAGUCCAAAAUGGGUGGUAAAUUUCAUCUAAAGCUAAAUAUUGGCGAGAGACCGAUAGCGAACAAGUACCGUGAGGGAAAGAUGAAAAGAACUUUGAAAAGAGAGUUAAACAGUACGUGAAAUUGUCAAAAGGGAAGCGUUUGACACCAGUGUUGUUUUCUCGAAAAUCAAUUAAAAAGAGUCGGAUUUUGUGUUGUAUUGACUUUAUCAGCUUUCUUCACUCUUUUCCAGCUUUUUUUAAUGCACUUUUCGUUUAACAAGUCAACAUCAGUUUCUUUUGUUGUAAAAAGGUCAUUGGAAGGUGGCUUUCUCUUCGGAGAAAGUGUUUAUAGCCUUUGACUCAUGCAAUCGGAGAGACUGAGGUCUGCAGCGUAGAUCCUUCGGGGUUAGAUACAUUUGUGCUAAGUUAUAGCUUUUCAUAGACAACUUGUUGACUAUGUUUAGUCUUGUAGCUUACUCGCUUAUGCUAUUUUACCUACGCUUAGGAUGUUGAACUCUAUCACACACAG
This 774-nucleotide ribosomal RNA is filed under the name uncultured Neocallimastigales. Its description in RNAcentral is "partial large subunit ribosomal RNA". It matches the Rfam family "Eukaryotic large subunit ribosomal RNA", at positions 22 to 621 of the family's 3401-position model. Lineage: Eukaryota; Fungi; Neocallimastigomycota; Neocallimastigomycetes; Neocallimastigales. The record is from RNAcentral.